This 513-nucleotide ribosomal RNA is filed under the name Salmonella enterica subsp. enterica serovar Heidelberg. RNAcentral's name for it is "partial 23S ribosomal RNA". It matches the Rfam family "Bacterial large subunit ribosomal RNA", at positions 1 to 559 of the family's 2925-position model. RNAcentral also lists the same sequence under 2 other names. Lineage: Bacteria; Pseudomonadati; Pseudomonadota; Gammaproteobacteria; Enterobacterales; Enterobacteriaceae. The record is from RNAcentral.
GCGACUAAGCGUACACGGUGGAUGCCCUGGCAGUCAGAGGCGAUGAAGGACGUGCUAAUCUGCGAUAAGCGCCGGUAAGGUGAUAUGAACCGUUAUAACCGGCGAUUUCCGAAUGGGGAAACCCAGUGUGACUCGUCACACUAUCAUUAACUGAAUCCAUAGGUUAAUGAGGCGAACCGGGGGAACUGAAACAUCUAAGUACCCCGAGGAAAAGAAAUCAACCGAGAUUCCCCCAGUAGCGGCGAGCGAACGGGGAGGAGCCCAGAGCCUGAAUCAGCAUGUGUGUUAGUGGAAGCGUCUGGAAAGGCGCGCGAUACAGGGUGACAGCCCCGUACACAAAAGCGCAUGUGCUGUGAGCUCGAUGAGUAGGGCGGGACACGUGGUAUCCUGUCUGAAUAUGGGGGGACCAUCCUCCAAGGCUAAAUACUCCUGACUGACCGAUAGUGAACCAGUACCGUGAGGGAAAGGCGAAAAGAACCCCGGCGAGGGGAGUGAAAAAGAACCUGAAACCGU